RNAcentral lists this ribosomal RNA (491 nucleotides) under uncultured bacterium. RNAcentral's name for it is "partial 16S ribosomal RNA". It matches the Rfam family "Bacterial small subunit ribosomal RNA", at positions 29 to 506 of the family's 1533-position model. The record is from RNAcentral.
AGUGAACGCUGGCGGUAGGCCUAACACAUGCAAGUCGAACGGCAGCACAGUAAGAGCUUGCUCUUACGGGUGGCGAGUGGCGGACGGGUGAGGAAUACAUCGGAAUCUACUUUUUCGUGGGGGAUAACGUAGGGAAACUUACGCUAAUACCGCAUACGACCUACGGGUGAAAGCAGGGGAUCUUCGGACCUUGCGCGAUUGAAUGAGCCGAUGUCGGAUUAGCUAGUUGGCGGGGUAAAGGCCCACCAAGGCGACGAUCCGUAGCUGGUCUGAGAGGAUGAUCAGCCACACUGGAACUGAGACACGGUCCAGACUCCUACGGGAGGCAGCAGUGGGGAAUCUUGGACAAUGGGCGCAAGCCUGAUCCAGCCAUACCGCGUGGGUGAAGAAGGCCUUCGGGUUGUAAAGCCCUCUUGUUGGGAAAGAAAAGCAGCAGGUUAAUACCCCGCUGUUCUGACGGUACCCAAAGAAUAAGCACCGGCUAACUUCGU